UGCCAGCCGCCGCGGUAAUACGGAGGGGGCUAGCGUUGUUCGGAAUUACUGGGCGUAAAGCGCGCGUAGGCGGGCUGUUAAGUCGGGGGUGAAAUCCCGGAGCUCAACUCCGGAAUUGCCUUCAAUACUGCUAGUCUUGAGUUCGAGAGAGGGUGGUGGAAUUCCUAGUGUAGAGGUGAAAUUCGUAGAUAUUAGGAAGAACACCAGUGGCGAAGGCGGCUAACUGGCUCGGUACUGACGCUGAGAUGCGAAAGCGUGGGGAGCAAACAGGAUUAGAUA
Molecule: ribosomal RNA, 279 nt
Filed under: uncultured bacterium
Lineage: Bacteria
Description: partial 16S ribosomal RNA
Rfam family: Bacterial small subunit ribosomal RNA
Source: RNAcentral